Molecule: long non-coding RNA, 500 nt
Filed under: Homo sapiens (human)
Lineage: Eukaryota; Metazoa; Chordata; Mammalia; Primates; Hominidae
Description: HSALNT0348434
Source: RNAcentral
GCCAGCCUUAGCAUGCUGGCUUGUUGCCUCUUGGUUUUAAAAUGGUUGCUGUAACUACAGUGGGUUUCUAAUAGACUUAAAUGAAAGGGCACCGCUUGAUUCAAGGAAUUGAGAAGCAAGAUGUGUCUUCAAGCAUGGCUAGAUCCAGAUAACUCGUCAGAAGAUAGGUGUUACAAAGACUUUCAAGCCCAAGGAACUGCUGAAGAGACUGCAUCGAAGAUCCAGCAUCCAUAGUGUACUUCAUGGAAUCCAGACUGCGCCAACUGACAGCAAUAGAGAGGCCUCAGGAGAAGCUAAGGAUUUGCUAACUGUGAAGAAAAAGAUUAUGUGUUUCACAACACUGCAAGCCUCGAAACCACAGAAGCAGUGAGCAAGCUAACAUUUAUUCUAAAGAUAAACAUGAAAUCCAGUUUAUACCUCCAGGUCAACACUCUCAUCUGAUCUCAGAAGAAUUCAUCAUUUUUUGAGGACCUACUUUGUGCUAGGAACUUUAUGUAAAU